Non-coding RNA from Bos taurus (domestic cattle), 46 nucleotides. NCBI's taxonomy places the organism in Eukaryota, Metazoa, Chordata, Mammalia, Artiodactyla, Bovidae. The record is from Rfam.
CCAAAGGCCCUUUUCAGGGCCAUAAAAAAAAUAAAAAUUAAAAAAA